CGCCGCGUGGAGGAUGACGCCCCUUGGGGUGUAAACUCCUUUCGAUCGGGACGAUUAUGACGGUACCGGAUGAAGAAGCACCGGCUAACUCUGUGC
Molecule: ribosomal RNA, 96 nt
Filed under: uncultured bacterium
Lineage: Bacteria
Description: partial 16S ribosomal RNA
Rfam family: Bacterial small subunit ribosomal RNA
Source: RNAcentral